UCAUCUUGUUAUGUGACUUGUUUAUGCUGCUUCCGUUAUUUAACUAAGUGCAUAAGUAUAUGAUGAAGUUUAGCUCCAAAUUAUUGGAUGCAUGUUGAUAUGUUGAUUACGAUGUUUUGUUCAUAAGUGUCCAUGCAUAGCAUCUCAUUGAGCUUAGUCCUCACCACGAUUAUUAGGAGCUUUGUCCUCCGCACGUUUUAUAGGAGCUUUGUCCUCCGCACGAUUAAAGUAUAUUAAUACUUAUGAUGACGAUUGGUACCACAUGCAUAUAAGGAGUCUAAGAGCAUUGUCACAUUGUCAUGAUUAAGAUGCCUUGUUGAUAAUGAUUGAAUAUGUGAUUACGUGAUAAGUGUUUA
RNAcentral lists this long non-coding RNA (356 nucleotides) under Medicago truncatula (barrel medic). RNAcentral describes it as "long non-coding RNA (MTRU_LNC007435)". The record is from RNAcentral. Lineage: Eukaryota; Viridiplantae; Streptophyta; Magnoliopsida; Fabales; Fabaceae.